AACAAUUCUUGCAUCGACAUGUUUUUGACAGCAUCAGGCAUCCUCAAGACAAAAGUCUGUUGAAGAAAAUAUCUUCACGCCUAGGACCAUAUCUCGGUGUCAUAUUUUUUUGUCCUCACCAAAUGGACGCUCCUACCUGGGUCUCAGGCGGGCCUGAGCCUCCUCAAAGUCAUUGUGGAGGAAGAGAUCCAGGGAGGCCAUGCAGUCCUCCAGAGCCAGCGACAGGUCUGAGGUCGAGCACCUAGUCGAACAAAAGCAAACACAGGAUGUGCCGUGGAGGCAUUGGAUGGAAGGUACCUGCUUGGGGAGUCCGGGCCAUCAGGGACACUUUCUGCCUUUGUGACAUUCCUGUGAAGAGGUUAAAGUUUGACUUUAUCUGAUGGAUCUUGGGAUUGUGAGAAGAUGGCAGAACGAAUGUGACGAAGGGCCAGACUGACACAUUACAGCCAUUUCAAGCAUCGGCACAAAUUGAUGUUUUUGUCACAUUAUUGGGAAGACAAGUCAACAGGAAGUGGCUGGGUCAUUGUGGUUUUUAUUGAGUGUGGCUUUUAAGAAGCAUUUUGAACACUUACCCCAUUCAGUUCUUAUUCAAAUAAACAGUGUUAAUUUUUCACACUUC
Molecule: long non-coding RNA, 619 nt
Organism: Hippocampus zosterae (dwarf seahorse)
Lineage: Eukaryota; Metazoa; Chordata; Actinopteri; Syngnathiformes; Syngnathidae
Exons: 3
Source: RefSeq, a predicted model, not a curated record